UCGAGAAUUUUUCUCAAUGGGGGAAACCCUGAAGGAGCGACGCCGCGUGGAGGAUGAAGGUCUUCGGAUUGUAAACUCCUGUCAUUUGGGAACAAUUGUCACCGGUUAACUGCCGGGGGCUUGAUAGUACCAGAAGAGGAAGAGACGGCUAACUCUGUGCCAGCAGCCGCGGUAAUACAGAGGUCUCAAGCGUUGUUCGGAUUCAUUGGGCGUAAAGGGUGCGUAGGUGGCGGGGUAAGUCGGAUGUGAAAUCCCGGGGCUCAACCCCGGAACUGCAUUCGAUACUGCCUUGCUCGAGUACUGGAGAGGAGAUUGGAAUUUACGGUGUAGCAGUGAAAUGCGUAGAUAUCGUAAGGAAGACCAGUGGCGAAGGCGAAUCUCUGGACAGUUACUGACACUGAGGCACGAAGGCCAGGGGAGCAAACGGGAUUAGAUACCCCUGUAGUCC
This 448-nucleotide ribosomal RNA is filed under the name uncultured bacterium. RNAcentral describes it as "bacterial SSU rRNA". It matches the Rfam family "Bacterial small subunit ribosomal RNA", at positions 355 to 796 of the family's 1533-position model. The record is from RNAcentral.